CACGUAGUUAGCCGGUGCUUAUUCUUCAGGUACCGUCGUUAGCACAGGAUAUUAGCCCGCACCGUUUCUUCCCUGACAAAAGAGCUUUACAACCCGAAGGCCUUCUUCACUCACGCGGCAUUGCUGGAUCAGGCUUGCGCCCAUUGUCCAAAAUUCCCCACUGCUGCCUCCCGUAGGAGUCUGGACCGUGUCUCAGUUCCAGUGUGGCUGGUCGUCCUCUCAGACCAGCUACUGAUCGAAGCCUUGGUAGGCUUUUACCCUACCAACUAGCUAAUCAGAUAUCGGCCGCUCCAGGAGCAUGAGGUUCUUGCGAAGCCCCCACUUUCAUCCUUAGAUCGUAUGCGGUAUUAGCGUAACUUUCGCUACGUUAUCCCCCACUCCAGGGUACGUUCCGAUAUAUUACUCACCCGUUCGCCACUCGCCACCAGGUUGCCCCGUGCUGCCGUUCGACUUGCAUGUGUAAGGCAUGCCGCCAGCGUUCAAUCUGAGCCAGGAUCAAA
Molecule: ribosomal RNA, 500 nt
Filed under: uncultured Oxalobacteraceae bacterium
Lineage: Bacteria; Pseudomonadati; Pseudomonadota; Betaproteobacteria; Burkholderiales; Oxalobacteraceae
Description: partial 16S ribosomal RNA
Source: RNAcentral